Molecule: ribosomal RNA, 465 nt
Filed under: uncultured bacterium
Lineage: Bacteria
Description: partial 16S ribosomal RNA
Rfam family: Bacterial small subunit ribosomal RNA
Source: RNAcentral
GACGAACGCUGGCGGCGUGCUUAACACAUGCAAGUCGAACGAUGAAGCCCAGCUUGCUGGGUGGAUUAGUGGCGAACGGGUGAGUAACACGUGAGUAACCUGCCCUCCACUCUGGGAUAACUCCGGGAAACCGGUGCUAAUACUGGAUAUGACUGCUGCCUGCAUGGGUGGUGGUGGAAAGAUUUAUCGGUGGUGGAUGGACUCGCGGCCUAUCAGCUUGUUGGUGGGGUAAUGGCCUACCAAGGCGACGACGGGUAGCCGGCCUGCGAGGGUGACCGGCCACACGGGGACUGAGACACGGCCCAGACUCCUACGGGAGGCAGCAGUGGGGAAUAUUCCACAAUGGGCGGAGGCCUGUGGCAGCGACGCCGCGUGCGGGAUGACGGCCUUCGGGUGGUAAACCGCUUUCAGCUCUGACGAAGCAUUUGUGCCGGUAGGAGCAGAAGAAGCACCGGCUACUACGUG